Molecule: non-coding RNA, 70 nt
Organism: Neotoma lepida (desert woodrat)
Lineage: Eukaryota; Metazoa; Chordata; Mammalia; Rodentia; Cricetidae
Source: Rfam
GGAGAGAUGGCUCAGUGGUUAAGAGCACUGACUGCUUUCCCAGAGGACCUGGGUUCAAUUCCCAGCACCC